Molecule: non-coding RNA, 192 nt
Filed under: Amblystegium sp. SM-2013
Lineage: Eukaryota; Viridiplantae; Streptophyta; Bryopsida; Hypnales; Amblystegiaceae
Source: RNAcentral
GGCGGUAACCCUUCUGAGCUAGACAGAGAGGGUCACAGGUGUGGUGGUGGUGUAAGGUGUGAUGAGUGCUGUAGCGAACAUCUAGCACUUUAGGUUAACCACGUACACCUGAGACAGGGCCCAUCUGUCGCGACACAAGGCCUACUCGCAUUUGCAGUAGCCCUUGUUGUUUUGUCUAUCACUCCUGAGCUA